This 851-nucleotide long non-coding RNA is filed under the name Mytilus galloprovincialis (Mediterranean mussel). Lineage: Eukaryota; Metazoa; Mollusca; Bivalvia; Mytilida; Mytilidae. The record is from RNAcentral.
CAAUUCAUACAAAAUAGCAAGCUGAGGAGUCGGAACAGGAUAUCAGAAAAGUGAAUCUACAUGGAUAAUUAAGAGAGAUUCCCAUUUCACUUUAAGUUAAUCAUCAUAUAUCCCAAUCCAAUUCUUAUUGUAUUGUAACAAUUUUUUUAAUUUCUGUACUGUUUAUAUAAGCCUCCUUUAUAUUUAUUUUUUUCCGCAUGAAUUCACUCCCAACAUCACGAAACAUGUUUUAAUAUGUAUUUACUUUCUGGUUGCCACACACGACAUAGCAGUUCAUUAAAUAUUCACAUAUAAUAAUAUUAGAACCUGAAAAGGGCCACAACUGAAUAAUGAAAAAAAAAAGAUCUGUCAGACCUGUACACAAUAAUUAUGAGUAGUAAUCAGAUCAAGUCAGAAUCAUCUCCCUUUAGCGAUUGACCCAGAUCCUUAUCUGACCACAACAGAACGUUGUGAUCAGCAAGUCACUGAGAAUUUCCUCAGGGUCAAAUGACACGCAUGAUUUCAUCAUUUUACUAAUUCUGUAAAAAAAAAAAGUCAAACAAGACACAUUUCAUCAGUCUUCACGCUGAACUGCUAAAUCUACAGGCCCCCAGCUCAAUUUUUGAAAAUUUUUAGUUAGAUUCUGUUGGCCUGUAGGUCUGAAUUUUACAGGCCUGAGAGCAAUUUUACCAGCCUGGGCUGCCACUCGGCGUGAAGACUGUUUCAUUAAAUGCACACAAAUCAUUACAUUUCUUUACAACAAAUUUAGUUACUUUCCCCAAGUUUCUCAUCCCCACAUUUACAGACCACAUUAAAAACAUGAAAGAUAAAAUUUUAAAAUAAUUCUUAUAAUUGUAUGGGGUUCACUGUUG